GUUUCGGGUAUGGGGUUUCGGGUUUCGGUUUUCGGAUUCUAGGGAUUUAAACAUAACACUCGUUAAUUCCACGUAGGAUGAAAUCGUCGUAAAUACAACGUAAGCAUAAAUUGUCGUAAAGACCAUGUAACCAGAAAUCGUCGUAAAGACCACAUAAGCAGAAAUCUUCGUAAAGACCACGUAAAAAGAUUUAAACAUAAAACACGUUAAUUCCACGUAAGCAUAAAUCGUCGUAAAUACCUCGUAGUGUAAAAACUAGAAAAAAAGGAAAAGGAUCAAAAUACCAGAAUAACAUGUGGCAAGACUUCCAGCAAUUAUAAUACGUAAGUCUCGCCCACAUGAAUUCUAAUAUCUUAUCCAUUUCCUAUUUUUUUCAAAUAUUUAUAA
This 387-nucleotide long non-coding RNA is filed under the name Brassica napus (rape). RNAcentral's name for it is "long non-coding RNA (BNAP_LNC017544)". The record is from RNAcentral. Lineage: Eukaryota; Viridiplantae; Streptophyta; Magnoliopsida; Brassicales; Brassicaceae.